This is a long non-coding RNA of Osmerus eperlanus (European smelt), 1121 nucleotides long. RefSeq lists it as uncharacterized. The record is from RefSeq and is a predicted model, not a curated record. The transcript is spliced from 2 exons. NCBI's taxonomy places the organism in Eukaryota, Metazoa, Chordata, Actinopteri, Osmeriformes, Osmeridae.
CUGUUUUAAAAACCCAGUCAGUUGGUUCUCCUGGGGGAACCCUUUUGCUUCCCCCCAACAUGGACAGACACUUUGUUCAUGCAUACCUCACUUAGUUUAGCAUACCUCUCACUUUGUCCUGUUUCAUAGAUGAGGCUGGAGACUGACCACAGAGCCGAGAGUGUGAGAGGCUCCCAGCAUCAGAGACCGCAGAAUGUCAGACUCACGCUGCUCUACAAGCAGCCGCAGGACAAGAUGGCCUGUCCAGGCGUCACAACCCCCCCACCAUUAGACCCCACCCCCCACAGCCAUGUCUAGCUUACCUCUAAUUUGAGGCCUCCUUCUUUGAUCAUGGUGUGUUCCCAUCAAGGCUCUCUCAACCAACCUGAUGGUCUAAUGGGUUUUCCACCUCCCUGCGUUGUGAGUGGACGACCACUGACUCCUGCUUUGAUUCAUUCUUGUGAGACCUUCCAAAUGGCAGAAAACAGAUACAGUAGCUUCUUCACAGGGAGAGCCUCUUACAAGCUCCAUCCUGGAUUUAUUUUUAUUUUCCAAUUAUUAUCAAAUAAUUCUGGUCACAGAUCUACAGUUCUUACAUGUUUAGGUGCCAAUAAUGUCUUCCAUGGUUAUUUUCCAUGGGGGAUUUUAUCUAUGGGUUCCUCAAAGCAUUCCUCUAAAUUAUUGAUCUGUUGUACGUGUAUAUUUAUUCAAUGUUAUAUUUCCAAUGAGUCCCUUUCUUGAUCUAUUUUGAUAUUUCAUUGCUGCUUUUGUGUUUUUUUAUUGCAUGUGUUACCACUGGUUUCACACAUUCUGUAACUGUACACUGAGAGUUACCUUAAUUUCCUUUGAGAAUAAUAAACGGAAUGUAAUUUAAAUUAACUUAAUUUAAAUCAUAUGAACAGUAUUUGUACCCAAACAAUGAAACAAUCAAUUGAUUCUAAAGAAACAAUUUGACAUUCGGCAGUUAUGGAGGUCUUAAUCAAUUCUCAUCAAAGGUUAAAACAAUCUUAACACAAAUGUCAGUGUUCUUCUGUAUGAGAUUACCUGCCAUUAGUGAGUGUUUCAUGAUGGUUCCUGCAGGGUAAAUUACACUGAAGAGCGAGAAUUACAUUAGCAGCUAAUAUAAAAGGUCAUGGCCACAU